This 495-nucleotide ribosomal RNA is filed under the name uncultured bacterium. RNAcentral describes it as "partial 16S ribosomal RNA". It matches the Rfam family "Bacterial small subunit ribosomal RNA", at positions 28 to 507 of the family's 1533-position model. The record is from RNAcentral.
GACGAACGCUGGCGGCGUGCCUAAUACAUGCAAGUAGAACGCUGAAGGAGGAGCUUGCUUCUCCGGAUGAGUUGCGAACGGGUGAGUAACGCGUAGGUAACCUGCCUGGUAGCGGGGGAUAACUAUUGGAAACGAUAGCUAAUACCGCAUAACAGUAGAUAUUGCAUGAUAUCUGCUUGAAAGGUGCAAUUGAAUCACUACCAGAUGGACCUGCGUUGUAUUAGCUAGUUGGUGAGGUAACGGCUCACCAAGGCGACGAUACAUAGCCGACCUGAGAGGGGGAUCGGCCACAAUGGGACUGAGACACGGCCCAGACUCCUACGGGAGGCAGCAGUAGGGAAUCUUCGGCAAUUGACGGAAGUCUGACCGAGCAACGCCGCGUGAGUGAAGAAGGUUUUCGGAUCGUAAAGCUCUGUUGUAAGAGAAGAACGAGUGUGAGAGUGGAAAGUUCACACUGUGACGGUAUCUAACCAGAAAGGGACGGCUAACUACGUG